UACGGGGGGGGCAAGCGUUGUUCGGAAUUACUGGGCGUAAAGGGCUCGUAGGCGGCCAACUAAGUCGGAUGUGAAAUCCCCAGGCUCAACUUGGGAACUGCAUCCGAUACUGGAUGGCUUGAAUUCGGGAGAGGGAUGCAGAAUUCCAGGUGUAGCGGUGAGAUGCGUAGAUAUCUGGAGGAAUACCGGUGGCGAAGGCGGCAUCCUGGACCGACAUUGACGCUGAGGAGCGAAAGCUAGGGGAGCAAACAGG
Molecule: ribosomal RNA, 253 nt
Filed under: uncultured bacterium
Lineage: Bacteria
Description: partial 16S ribosomal RNA
Rfam family: Bacterial small subunit ribosomal RNA
Source: RNAcentral